Prinia subflava (tawny-flanked prinia) is the source of this 953-nucleotide long non-coding RNA. RefSeq lists it as uncharacterized. Lineage: Eukaryota; Metazoa; Chordata; Aves; Passeriformes; Cisticolidae. The transcript is spliced from 3 exons. The record is from RefSeq and is a predicted model, not a curated record.
UACCUAAUCUUAUCACCUCCUGUCUCAGUUUGUGUUUCUCCAAAGGUCAUUAGCAUGCUUUAGUCUAGCAGCCAGCUAUUGCCCUUUGAAUUCCAUUGGCCUUCACUAGAUGGUAUAAGAGAGGACUAUUUUCUGCAAUUUUCAGUCAAGAGACCUUGAAGAGAAGUUCUGGUUCCUCACAUAUUUUCUGGCUAGCAUUGGAUAGAAGGAGACUGGUAAGAAAACAACUCAUGUAAAAGCACUACAGAUUUCAUCUUAACUUCUUCUGCAGGCCCAACAUUGAGAUAUCUUGAGACAUUUUCAUGGAGUUUGUUGCUAGCUGGUGAUGUGCUUUCUUUUUUGAUGUUUCCCUAUCCACUAUCAUAAGCUAUUUUUUUCUUUGCAGUCUGUUGCAAGUGUUUUACAAAGAACAAAUUCAUCUUGUAUCACCUACACCGUGACAAUGCUGUCUUCCAUUUUUUUGCAGCAGCAGUGCUGAAGUUACUCAUAAAUUGUGCUGUGCAUUUGACAUACAGCCAACAACUGGAAGAAGCAAACUCACCCCUCCCCAGAGUUGAGAAAGCAGCCUUGAGAAGAAAGAAGGAGAUCUUGAGAAGAAAGAAGGAGAUCAGACCCAGUGCCCAUAAAGGACCAAAUGGUUCCUGGACCAGCUGAUGGAUUGUGUCUCACUAAAGCCAUGGGAGUAUUUGGCACAGUGGAACAUAAAUCUUGAUAGGAGGCAGAACCAGCAGACAAGGAUUCACUGAACUCUGAAAUUCUUCAGGGUAGAGCAUAAAGAACAGUAAACAAUAUUAGAGAGUUUUCCAAUAGAUUCUUUCUGCAUCACAAUACUUUGGCUGCUCUAGAGCACCAACCACCAGUUCUUACUAAACUUUCUGUAUUACUGGCAAGUACUUUUCUUUUUUUUUCCUCCCAUGGUACCUAUAAAUUUAGAGAUAAAGAUAAUAGGCCAA